UACAGAGGGGGCAAGCGUUGUUCGGAAUUACUGGGCGUAAAGGGCGAGUAGGCGGCCAUCUAAGUCAGACGUGAAAUCCCCCGGCUUAACCUGGGAACUGCGUCUGAUACUGGACGGCUUGAGUUUGGGAGAGGGAUGCAGAAUUCCAGGUGUAGCGGUGAAAUGCGCAGAUAUCAGGAGGAACACCAGCGGCGAAGGCGGCGCUCUGGGCCGGUACUGACGCUGAGGAGCGAAAGCGUGGGGAGCAAACAGG
RNAcentral lists this ribosomal RNA (253 nucleotides) under uncultured bacterium. Its description in RNAcentral is "partial 16S ribosomal RNA". It matches the Rfam family "Bacterial small subunit ribosomal RNA", at positions 524 to 776 of the family's 1533-position model. The record is from RNAcentral.